RNAcentral lists this non-coding RNA (21 nucleotides) under Arabidopsis thaliana (thale cress). Lineage: Eukaryota; Viridiplantae; Streptophyta; Magnoliopsida; Brassicales; Brassicaceae. The record is from RNAcentral.
CGAUCCCCCGCAUCUCCACCA